Ictalurus punctatus (channel catfish) is the source of this 461-nucleotide long non-coding RNA. RefSeq lists it as uncharacterized. The record is from RefSeq and is a predicted model, not a curated record. Lineage: Eukaryota; Metazoa; Chordata; Actinopteri; Siluriformes; Ictaluridae. The transcript is spliced from 2 exons.
AUCACCACUGAAGGCAAGUUAAUGAUUAGCGGUGCAUCACCGUCAACAACCCUUCAGCAAAUCAAAUUCUAAUGACUAUGAAACAUGACACUGGAAAGGAUUACAUCUGUAAAAACAUCAUGUGAGUGUUUGAACUCAUGAAGGUUCUUAUGUAGACCUUUAGAACCCAGUGCCUCCAUUUCAGAGAGGGAUCUUCAGGAAGCUAAGAACCCUUAAAUAUCCAAGGGGUACUGUACAUUUUUUCUAGGUUUUGCCUGUGAAGACUGCAUUUGUUGGUAAAAAGAAUAAACCAUCAUGAAGACCAGAGAGCUGUCUAUGGGAGAAAAGCAAUCCUUUUUGAAGCUGAAAAAUCGAUCAGAGAUAUUGCACAAGCACUGGGCAUAGCCGAUACACCAAUUUGGAAUGUCCUGAAAAAGAAGGAAACCACUGGUGUACUAACAACCAGACAUGGAACAGGUCGG